This is a small nuclear RNA of Delphinapterus leucas (beluga whale), 102 nucleotides long. The record is from Ensembl. NCBI's taxonomy places the organism in Eukaryota, Metazoa, Chordata, Mammalia, Artiodactyla, Monodontidae.
UUGUUUUGGAACCAUAUACACUAAAACUGAUGUGAUACAGUGAAGAUUAGCAUGGGCCCUGUGUGAGGAUGACACACACAUUGUGAAACAUUCCAUAAUUGU